RNAcentral lists this ribosomal RNA (321 nucleotides) under Triticum aestivum (bread wheat). RNAcentral describes it as "partial small subunit ribosomal RNA". Lineage: Eukaryota; Viridiplantae; Streptophyta; Magnoliopsida; Poales; Poaceae. The record is from RNAcentral.
AUGAUCGAAUAUAUGUGCUGUUUUUUCUCAUUUUUCCCUUUUGUUUUUGUUUUUUGGUUUUUGCUCUUUCGACCCAUGCAGAGGAUUGUAUCAAAGGAUAAACGGCGGAACAGGAAAAGGGCUGCUGAGCGGUGUGUUCGUAGUCGCAUUGUUCUUGAUGGUGAGGAAGUAGGGUUGGAGGAUGAUACCGAAUCCCGUGUUGCAAAGCGAGCCAGACCGAAAGGAAAAGGCAAAUCAUCUUAUGGGGGUGGCCCAACCUCUGCAGAAGCUGCUGAGGUGGGUGAAGUUGGAGUUGAAGGGAAUGAAGGAAACGUUCCUUAG